RNAcentral lists this unclassified non-coding RNA (230 nucleotides) under air metagenome. RNAcentral's name for it is "partial contains small subunit ribosomal RNA, internal transcribed spacer 1, and 5.8S ribosomal RNA". The stretch from base 1 to 46 matches the Rfam family "Eukaryotic small subunit ribosomal RNA", at positions 1786 to 1831 of the family's 1831-position model. The record is from RNAcentral.
AAGUCGUAACAAGGUUUCCGUAGGUGAACCUGCGGAAGGAUCAUUAUCGAGAGCGGCGGUGCCCUAGCCAUGGGCCCGAUCCGUCCCACCCCUUGUCUACCUGCCUCUGUUGCCUCGGCGAACGGGUGCGCUCGUUCGUCGAAGGCCCCCCUAACAACGCUUUAAUGGUGGGGUUCUGAGUGUCGAUUUUAAUAGCACUAAAACUUUCAACAACGGAUCUCUUGGCUCUG